RNAcentral lists this ribosomal RNA (497 nucleotides) under uncultured bacterium. Its description in RNAcentral is "partial 16S ribosomal RNA". It matches the Rfam family "Bacterial small subunit ribosomal RNA", at positions 28 to 507 of the family's 1533-position model. The record is from RNAcentral.
GAUGAACGCUGGCGGCGUGCCUAAUACAUGCAAGUCGAGCGAACAGACGAGGAGCUUGCUCCUCUUACGUUAGCGGCGGACGGGUGAGUAACACGUGGAUAACCUACCUAUAAGACUGGGAUAACUUCGGGAAACCGGAGCUAAUACCGGAUAAUAUAUUGAACCGCAUGGUUCAAUAGUGAAAGACGGUUUUGCUGUCACUUAUAGAUGGUUCCGCGCCGCAUUAGCUAGUUGGUAAGGUAACGGCUUACCAAGGCAACGAUGCGUAGCCGACCUGAGAGGGUGAUCGGCCACACUGGAACUGAGACACGGUCCAGACUCCUACGGGAGGCAGCAGUAGGGAAUAUUCCGCAAUGGGCGAAAGCUUGACGGAGCAACGCCGAGUGAGUGAUGAAGGUCUUCGGAUCGUAAAACUCUGUUAUUAGGGAAGAACAAAUGUGUAAGUAACUAUGCACGUCUUGACGGUACCUAAUCAGAAAGCCACGGCUAACUACGUG